GCUCAGUGUGCAGAGCAGCUCUGUGGCACGCUCACUGCAGACGGAACCUGCUGAUCGACGAGGUCUCUGCCAGCAGGACUCGGAAUAUUUUUGGUUUUUCCCACAGGCGUUGUCUGGUACAGACUUGAGCAGCGCUGCUCAAGCCAUGGAGGGAGUGUGUGCUGCAGUUUGCGCAGCUUUUUCCGUGGCUUAUUCUGGGUACUUUCUCACCCACCUGGCACGUCACAUCACCCGUGCCUGGAGAGAAUCCAGUCUUUGGAGCCCAACACCAACCUCGGAGGAUCCUCUGGCUGCGUGUCUUCCUGCAGAAGAGGCCAGAGGGGAGGAAGAUGCUCCCCAAACUGCGCCUGCUGCCACUGCAGGGCCUGAGCAUCCAGCAUCA
Passer domesticus (house sparrow) is the source of this 382-nucleotide long non-coding RNA. RefSeq lists it as uncharacterized. The record is from RefSeq and is a predicted model, not a curated record. The transcript has 3 exons. Lineage: Eukaryota; Metazoa; Chordata; Aves; Passeriformes; Passeridae.